This 458-nucleotide ribosomal RNA is filed under the name uncultured bacterium. Its description in RNAcentral is "bacterial SSU rRNA". It matches the Rfam family "Bacterial small subunit ribosomal RNA", at positions 34 to 507 of the family's 1533-position model. The record is from RNAcentral.
CGCUGGCGGCGUGCUUAACACAUGCAAGUGAACGGUGACGAGAGCUUGCUCCUCUGAUCAGUGGCGAACGGGUGAGUAACACGUGAGCAACCUGCCCCAGACUCUGGGAUAACAGUUGGAAACAGCUGCUAAUACCGGAUACGAGACGGAGAGGCAUCUCUACCGUCUGGAAAGUUUUUCGGUCUGGGAUGGACUCGCGGCCUAUCAGCUAGUUGGUGAGGUAAUGGCUCACCAAGGCGACGACGGGUAGCCGGCCUGAGAGGGCGACCGGCCACACUGGGACUGAGACACGGCCCAGACUCCUACGGGAGGCAGCAGUGGGGAAUAUUGCACAAUGGGCGAAAGCCUGAUGCAGCGACGCCGCGUGAGGGAUGACGGCCUUCGGGUUGUAAACCUCUUUCAGCAGGGAAGAAGCGAAAGUGACGGUACCUGCAGAAGAAGCACCGGCUAACUACGUG